AUAUAUAAAUUAAGCUUCUAACUUAAAUAAUAGUGGUUAAAUACCAUUAAUAUUUCUUUUAUUUAUAUAGUUUAUAUA
This 78-nucleotide transfer RNA is filed under the name Graphium doson. RNAcentral's name for it is "tRNA-Ser". The record is from RNAcentral. Lineage: Eukaryota; Metazoa; Arthropoda; Insecta; Lepidoptera; Papilionidae.